RNAcentral lists this ribosomal RNA (472 nucleotides) under uncultured bacterium. Its description in RNAcentral is "bacterial SSU rRNA". It matches the Rfam family "Bacterial small subunit ribosomal RNA", at positions 328 to 793 of the family's 1533-position model. The record is from RNAcentral.
CUCUAACACUCCUACGGGAGGCAGCAGUGGGGAAUAUUGCACAAUGGGGGAAACCCUGAUGCAGCCAUGCCGCGUGUGUGAAGAAGGCCUUCGGGUUGUAAAGCACUUUCAGUAGGGAGGAAGGUAGUGUAGUUAACACCUGCAUUAUUUGACGUUACCUACAGAAGAAGCACCGGCUAACUCCGUGCCAGCAGCCGCGGUAAUACGGAGGGUGCGAGCGUUAAUCGGAAUUACUGGGCGUAAAGCGCAUGCAGGCGGCCUGUUAAGUCAGAUGUGAAAGCCCGGGGCUUAACCUCGGAAUUGCAUUUGAAACUGGCAGGCUAGAGUCUUGUAGAGGGGGUAGAAUUUCAGGUGUAGCGGUGAAAUGCGUAGAGAUCUGAAGGAAUACCAGUGGCGAAGGCGGCCCCCUGGACAAAGACUGACGCUCAGAUGCGAAAGCGUGGGGAGCAAACAGGAUUAGAUACCCUGGUAG